GCUUUCCCAUCGCUGUCUCAGCUGCUCCCGCUGGCCUUCUGCUCAGGCUGGUGUCUCCUUGGCCGGCUCCCUGCUUCUCAGCUCAUGCCUCCAGCCUUCUGGACUCUAGGAUCACAUGUGGCUGCCCACCUCGGACAGGGUUGACUAGAGGUGAAGAGGUGCCAUGCACUCCAGGAGAAGAGCUGACUGGAUCCUAUACUCAAAGAAUGGGCCACGGAUCCCUACCUGUCCACUGUUUGUUACUGGGCUGGGAAGCUGCAAGACCCGAUGCUGGGGAGCCCACCAUGAAAUCUGUCCCAAAUCAUGGAACCCCGAGGUGAAAGGCCCCCAGGCAUGCCAACACAUGGCAGACAAAUCCAGUUGUGUCCAGGGAUGGCGUUCCCUCCAGUUUUCUGAAAGACGCUCCCAUAUUCCUUAAGCACAGGGAUCUACUAAAGGAUGUGCUCCUUAAAAAUGAGGGAGUAAGCCGAGAAAGAGGAAGAUGUGGGCUCUAGAAAAUGGAAUCCAAUGCAGCAAAAGGUAAAGGGGAUUUUUAGAAUCACGACCAAGAGAACUCUGAGGUCAACAGCUGUGCAGCAGGCCUAGAGAAUGAUCUGUGAAGAUGGGUACAGGAGGAGGAGGGACUCUAGGUGGGAGGGCUCUAUCAUGUGGUGGUACUGGUGUCAGCCCAUUGGAGCCAAUUGUUAAAUAUUUGGGAAUGUUGUAAGCCAGUUUUUAAACACAGUCAUUAUUUAAAAAGUAAAUUAUAAAAGGCUUAAUCAUAUUAGAAAUAAAGAUGAUAAAUAUUCCAAAUUCA
RNAcentral lists this long non-coding RNA (796 nucleotides) under Homo sapiens (human). RNAcentral's name for it is "HSALNT0383833". Lineage: Eukaryota; Metazoa; Chordata; Mammalia; Primates; Hominidae. The record is from RNAcentral.